This 681-nucleotide unclassified non-coding RNA is filed under the name uncultured Prochlorococcus sp. RNAcentral's name for it is "partial may contain 16S ribosomal RNA, 16S-23S ribosomal RNA intergenic spacer, and 23S ribosomal RNA". The stretch from base 303 to 375 matches the Rfam family "tRNA". The record is from RNAcentral. Lineage: Bacteria; Bacillati; Cyanobacteriota; Cyanophyceae; Synechococcales; Prochlorococcaceae.
GUGGAGGAGGACGCCGAAGGUGGGGCUAAUGACUGGGGUGAAGUCGUAACAAGGUAGCCGUACCGGAAGGUGCGGCUGGAUCACCUCCUAACAGGGAGACAACAAAAUGUUUAAUAUUAUUAUUUUGUCACCUUAGGUCGAUCGGUAUCUCACGUUUUUAAUUUAUUAAGAAUUUCAUUUCCUAAGUUUUUCUAGGUCACACCCAUUAUUUUUCCUGGGCCAUUAGCUCAGGUGGUUAGAGCGCACCCCUGAUAAGGGUGAGGUCCCUGGUUCAAGUCCAGGAUGGCCCAUAUCUCUAUGUUGGGGGUAUAGCUCAGUUGGUAGAGCGCCUGCUUUGCAAGCAGGAUGUCAGCGGUUCGAGUCCGCUUACCUCCACUGAUUACCACCUCUUCCAUAACCGGUAGAAAGGAAAUGUUUUGAGUUGUGAUCAAAUUCUGAAAGAAUCUAGCUUCCUAAUGAAAUCAUUAAGAUGCUGGACUCAUUGAAUUAAUUUCAUUGUUUUCAGAGAACCUUGACAACUGCAUAGAUUAUUUUUAAAGACAAUAAGCAUCUUUAAUGAUGCAGAUUUAUUAUUUGUGCGAAUGCAUUAAUAACAAUUCUAUUAAGCUGAUGCUUCAAUUUUUGAAGUUAUUGGUCAAGCUACAAAGGGCUCACGGAGGAUACCUAGGCACACAGAGGCGA